RNAcentral lists this ribosomal RNA (505 nucleotides) under uncultured bacterium. RNAcentral describes it as "partial 16S ribosomal RNA". It matches the Rfam family "Bacterial small subunit ribosomal RNA", at positions 28 to 507 of the family's 1533-position model. The record is from RNAcentral.
GACGAACGCUGGCGGCGUGCCUAAUACAUGCAAGUAGGACGCACAGUUUAUACCGUAGCUUGCUACACCAUAGACUGUGAGUUGCGAACGGGUGAGUAACGCGUAGGUAACCUGCCUGGUAGCGGGGGAUAACUAUUGGAAACGAUAGCUAAUACCGCAUAAUAUUAAUUAUUGCAUGAUAAUUAAUUGAAAGGUGCAAUUGCACCACUACCAGAUGGACCUGCGUUGUAUUAGCUAGUAGGUGAGGUAACGGCUCACCUAGGCGACGAUACAUAGCCGACCUGAGAGGGUGGUCGGCCACACUGGGACUGGGACACGGCCCAGACUCCUACGGGAGGCAGCAGUAGGGAAUCUUCGGCAAUGGACGAAAGUCUGACCGAGCAACGCCGCGUGAGUGAAGAAGGUUUUCGGAUCGUAAAGCUCUGUUGUAAGAGAAGAACGGGUGUGAGAGUGGAAAGUUCACACUGUGACGGUAUCUUACCAGAAAGGGACGGCUAACUACGUG